Molecule: ribosomal RNA, 450 nt
Filed under: uncultured bacterium
Lineage: Bacteria
Description: partial 16S ribosomal RNA
Rfam family: Bacterial small subunit ribosomal RNA
Source: RNAcentral
GUGGGGAAUUUUGGACAAUGGGGGCAACCCUGAUCCAGCCAUGCCGCGUGCGGGAAGAAGGCCUUCGGGUUGUAAACCGCUUUUGUCAGGGAAGAAAUCCUUUGGGUUAAUACCUCGGAGGGAUGACGGUACCUGAAGAAUAAGCACCGGCUAACUACGUGCCAGCAGCCGCGGUAAUACGUAGGGUGCGAGCGUUAAUCGGAAUUACUGGGCGUAAAGCGUGCGCAGGCGGUUGUGUAAGAUCGAUGUGAAAUCCCCGGGCUCAACCUGGGAACUGCAUUGGUGACUGCAAGGCUGGAGUGCGGCAGAGGGGGAUGGAAUUCCGCGUGUAGCAGUGAAAUGCGUAGAUAUGCGGAGGAACACCGAUGGCGAAGGCAAUCCCCUGGGCCUGCACUGACGCUCAUGCACGAAAGCGUGGGGAGCAAACAGGAUUAGAAACCCCAGUAGUCC